This 299-nucleotide long non-coding RNA is filed under the name Elaeis guineensis (African oil palm). RNAcentral describes it as "long non-coding RNA (EGUI_LNC013215)". The record is from RNAcentral. Lineage: Eukaryota; Viridiplantae; Streptophyta; Magnoliopsida; Arecales; Arecaceae.
AUAAGAUAUACCGGCUAAAAUAAUACCGAGGGUUAAAAAAAUUCUGCAAAAUAUAAAAAUAAACUAUUUUUGCUAUUUGCAACUUUAAUGUGAUUUUUUUGAUGGAACUAUGCUAUUGCUCCAGUGGUCAAAAUAAAAAUUAUACAACUGAUAUUAAAAUUAUCUAACUGAUGUUUUAAACUUACACCCACACACAUUCAAUAUUUAUAAACUAACAAGUAGUGCUUCCAGAGGAGCUUUUUAUAAAUUUGUGCAAACUUUGUUAUGGAAUUUUGCAAGCUUGGUCGAAUGGUCAAGCC